GAUGAACGCUGGCGGCGUGCCUAAUACAUGCAAGUCGAGCGAACGGACGAGAAGCUUGCUUCUCUGAUGUUAGCGGCGGACGGGUGAGUAACACGUGGAUAACCUACCUAUAAGACUGGGAUAACUUCGGGAAACCGUAGCUAAUACCGGAUAAUAUUUUGAACCGCAUGGUUCAAAAGUGAAAGACGGUCUUGCUGUCACUUAUAGAUGGAUCCGCGCUGCAUUAGCUAGUUGGUAAGGUAACGGCUUACCAAGGCAACGAUGCAUAGCCGACCUGACAGGGUGAUCGGCCACACGGGAGCUGAGACACGGACCAGACUCCUGCGGGAGGCAGCAGUAGGGAAUCUGCCGCAAUGGGCGAAAGCCUGACGGAGCAACGCCGCGUGAGUGAUGAAGGUCUUCGGAUCGUAAAACUCUGUUAUUAGGGAAGAACAUAUGUGUAAGUAACUGUGCACAACUUGACGGUACCUAAUCAGAAAGCCACGGCUAACUACGUG
RNAcentral lists this ribosomal RNA (497 nucleotides) under uncultured bacterium. RNAcentral's name for it is "partial 16S ribosomal RNA". It matches the Rfam family "Bacterial small subunit ribosomal RNA", at positions 28 to 507 of the family's 1533-position model. The record is from RNAcentral.